CCUACGGGAGGCAGCAGUGAGGAAUAUUGGUCAAUGGGCGAGAGCCUGAACCAGCCAAGUCGCGUGAAGGAUGACUGUCUUAUGGAUUGUAAACUUCUUUUGUAGGGGAAUAAAGAGGGGCACGCGUGCCUCAGUGAAUGUACCCUACGAAUAAGCAUCGGCUAACUCCGUGCCAGCAGCCGCGGUAAUACGGAGGAUGCGAGCGUUAUCCGGAUUUAUUGGGUUUAAAGGGUGCGUAGGCGGCCUGUUAAGUCAGCGGUGAAAUCUAGGAGCUUAACUCCUAAAUUGCCAUUGAUACUGGCGGGCUUGAGUGUAGAUGAGGUAGGCGGAAUGCGUGGUGUGGCGGUGGAAUGCAUAGAUAUCACGCAGAACUCCGAUUGCGAAGGCAGCUUACUAAGGUACAACUGACGCUGAAGCACGAAAGCGUGGGUAUCAAACAGGAUUAGAUACCCUGGUAGUCCACGCAGUAAACGAUGAUAACUGGGCGUAUGCGAUAUACAGUAUGCUCCUAAGCGAAAGCGUUAAGUUAUCCACCUGGGGAGUACGCCGGCAACGGUGAAACUCAAAGGAAUUGACGG
This 578-nucleotide ribosomal RNA is filed under the name uncultured bacterium. RNAcentral's name for it is "bacterial SSU rRNA". It matches the Rfam family "Bacterial small subunit ribosomal RNA", at positions 338 to 916 of the family's 1533-position model. The record is from RNAcentral.